GUGCCAGCAGCCGCGGUAAUACCGGCAGCUCAAGUGAUGUCCCAUAUUAUUGGGCCUAAAGCGUCCGUAGCUGGCCGCGCAAGUCCGUCGGGAAAUCCACCUGCCCAACAGGUGGGCGUCCGGCGAAAACUGUGUGGCUUGGAACCGGAAGGCUCAGAGGGUACGUCCGGGGUAGGAACGAAAUCCCGUAAUCCCGGACGGACCACCGAUGGCGAAAGCACUCUGAGAAGACGGCUUCGACAGUGAGGGACGAAAGCGAGGGUCUCAAACCGGAUUAGAAACCCCAGUAGUCC
This 293-nucleotide ribosomal RNA is filed under the name uncultured bacterium. RNAcentral describes it as "partial 16S ribosomal RNA". It matches the Rfam family "Archaeal small subunit ribosomal RNA", at positions 455 to 747 of the family's 1478-position model. The record is from RNAcentral.